Molecule: long non-coding RNA, 1593 nt
Organism: Physcomitrium patens
Lineage: Eukaryota; Viridiplantae; Streptophyta; Bryopsida; Funariales; Funariaceae
Source: RefSeq, a predicted model, not a curated record
GUGCUGCCUAUGCUUCGAAUUGCAUUGUAGUGCUGUUGGAGAAUUUGUGAAUUGAAAAGAGAGUGCAAUCAAUCCUUUAUGGUUUUAAUGUGUUUUUUAGGGUUUAAGUCGUGAUCUUUCAUCUCUUGCUGGCAACGGUUUGGGAGUUGGGUCUCGGAGAAGGCUGGUGGAUGUCGAGGUUGUGUGCAGUCCACUCAGUCACCGAGCCCAAGUGUGAGUUUUUGCUUUGUUAAAAUUGCUGAGACUCGGGGAAAGACAGAGUAUACUGCUCGAUCACAGUUGGAUCAGUUUUAGGUGUUGGCUUCUGCUGACAUAUUUUCUCGUGUAGGGUUGUCGGUUAGGGUGGGUCACUCGACUCAGCUGGUGGAUGGGCUUCUCGAAUUGGGCUACAUUGUGGGGGGGGGGGGGGGGGGGAAAAAAAAAAAAAAAAAAAAAAAAAAAUGGCCAUAAAGCUAGUCUUCAUAUCCAUAGACAGAUUACAACUUGCCUCAAUAUAGUCGAAUUGCAUUUCCUCUAUGUUUUCUCAAUGGGAAUAACACGUUGUCUGAAACAUGGAAUAUCUGGUAUUCCUGGUUGAAAUGAGAGGAGUUGGGAAGGUCUCUAUGCCGUGUAUUGUCGUCUUCUAUAGCCUUGAAUCUUAGGUCGGCCCAUUCAGGAUCAUACCUCUGCUUGCACCCUGAUUCUUUCUGGUUCGAUUCGCCAUGUGAUGGGUUUCAACAGCUUGUGGACUUUAGAUCGCGUGAAACAAUUCUAUUCUUCUCUUCAUAAUAUGAUACUGGCAGACUCUAGACUAUUCCUAGAUUGCAAUACUUCUGGUUAGAUCCAAAGAGAAGAACUAGCAAAGAAGCGUAUGAGCAGAAUGAUACCAAACCAUGUAUUUUGUCAUGCUUUUAACAGGUGUGUAACAUGAAACCGCCGAGUUGAGCAAAUUCAAGCUCAACUUUCUCCAGCCAUUGUCAACGAUGAAUUUGUUUUCACCAAGAGAUAUAUUUUCACAUGAGAAUCAAUGAGUCUCAUGAGUGUUAAAUAUAUUGCUCUGACGUGCUUCCACAGUGGCUGAAUUCCCUCAACAGAAGCUGCAAUGAAACCUUAACACCAUCACUGAAAUGUCAUGGUUGGCUAGGUAUUGUUCGAGAUGUGUAUAACUUCAUCAAAAUUAACCCCACCUGGACUAAUUCAUGAGGAAUUAUCCAAGAUGGCAUUGGCUCAGCUGGGUUCACUCAAACUUAUCCAGGUUUCCAAGGAGACUCUUGCAAACUACAGCAAGAGAAUGCAUUCUGCUCUCUUCUGGUGGUUAAUAUUUAUCUUUUGAUAUUGUUAUCUGUAACAACAAUUCUAUUAAGUGUUUUUGUAGAUGCUAAUCACAAAUAAACAGUGAAUACAAUCGAUAAUUGCAUGAUUCUGCAUCUUGUUUGACUGAAACAUCUAUUUAGAAUAUUUAAAACAGAAGAUUUCAAUGUAAUCGAAUUGGAAUUUUAAAAUCAGGAAGAUAGCUGCAAUUUCUCUUUUCAGCGUAAGUGUUUUUAAAAUGUUUCAAAAAACCAAACAGAUAAAAUCAUAACCUCAAUAAAAUACUUGCGAAUUUCGAAAUAA